GGGGAUAUAGCUCAGUGGUUGAGCAUUCGACUACAGAUCGAGAGGUCCUCGGUUUAAACCCGGGUGUCCCCU
RNAcentral lists this transfer RNA (72 nucleotides) under Saccoglossus kowalevskii. RNAcentral's name for it is "tRNA-Cys". It matches the Rfam family "tRNA". From Rfam's summary of the family: Transfer RNA (tRNA) molecules are approximately 80 nucleotides in length. Their secondary structure includes four short double-helical elements and three loops (D, anti-codon, and T loops). Further hydrogen bonds mediate the characteristic L-shaped molecular structure. tRNAs have two regions of fundamental functional importance: the anti-codon, which is responsible for specific mRNA codon recognition, and the 3' end, to which the tRNAs corresponding amino acid is attached (by aminoacyl-tRNA synthetases). tRNAs cope with the degeneracy of the genetic code in two manners: having more than one tRNA (with a specific anti-codon) for a particular amino acid; and 'wobble' base-pairing, i.e. permitting non-standard base-pairing at the 3rd anti-codon position. The record is from RNAcentral. Lineage: Eukaryota; Metazoa; Hemichordata; Enteropneusta; Harrimaniidae.